Siniperca chuatsi (mandarin fish) is the source of this 2156-nucleotide long non-coding RNA. RefSeq lists it as uncharacterized. NCBI's taxonomy places the organism in Eukaryota, Metazoa, Chordata, Actinopteri, Centrarchiformes, Sinipercidae. The record is from RefSeq and is a predicted model, not a curated record. The transcript has 2 exons.
UUUAAUUCCUUCAACAUUUUUUCAACAGAAGGGAGCGGAACAAUUUUCACCGCCUGGUUGAGCGAAGGCUCGAUGUAAAUAAACUUUUCCUCUGUGACGGUGGACAUGAGGAAGAAUGGAGGACUUGAACACCAGCCGCUUGGUUGUUUGUCAGCCGGUUUAACGGCUCAUUUUGUGACCGUGAAAGAUUUGGUGGUGCUGCGGUGGAAGUGGACGGAGCGUUUCCAGCCGCGGCGGACUCACUGUGCUGCCGUGCCGUGUCAGCUAGCUGGUGCUGCUCGGUAGUCUGGUCGCUCGAAACCCACAUCCUGGACUACAUCCUGCUCGUUACAACAUGUUGCUUCCAUGCAUUGUUUUUCACGAACCCUUGAAAAAACAGAAGCAUCCAAAAAAAGCAGAUCAAACAGGUGUUAUACACUUUAUUGCUUUUAAAAAACGUAUUUCUUUUCAGAAAUCUAUUCAUGUUUGGGGAAGGGACAUUCUUUUGGAGUUGCCAUGGAAGUACACAAAGAAUCUAUUGUAUGGAAGGGAUCCUUGUGGGGAUCAGAGGGCUGCUAUCAGCUUUAACUAAAACAGCUUUUUCAAAGGGAGUCAGGCACAGAGUUCCCUCACUCAGAGUCCUCCACUGACCUCUGGACGAAGGUACUCCAACCGAAGAGACUUGGGCUCCAUGUUGGGCUUUCAGCGUGUCCGCUAAUGUACUGUAAAUGCAGAGGAUGCAUUAUGUGUCCAGUGACAUCACCCCACUCAACUAAGGCCGCCGAUGAUUCCAUCAAUCAGAUGGCUUGAAUCAUGCUGUAGCAAGGAAAUGUGUGCAUGGCUGCUUUGUGUGAGCGUGAGAAUUUCCUGUUUUUGUGUCUUGAGAAGAGAAUACAGAGGAGUUGUUGGUUGCUUACUGUAAAUCUGUACACUUAUUGUCUGCACAGUCAGAGUCUUUUCUUCAUUUGAUCUGUUUUCUGCAUUUAUUUGAUUAAGGAAGUCUCAUUAGGUUAGAUGAUGAGUCACAGGACAAUAAUCAGAGAAACCAUUUCCACAUACAUAGAAUUGCAAUAAUGAUGCAGAUUAAGAGUGGGUACACUCCAGGGACCAUUUUAUCAUUUUUAUCAAAAUAAUGGAUAUCUAUAAGUGCAAACAGUAACAAACAUUUUAACUGAAGAGUGAUUUUCCAUCCUGAUUGUUCAAUUACGCAGAGCAGUAAAAUCUGGCCACCAAGCAUUUGCCUUGAACACAUAUGGGACUAUUGUAGUGCUUAAUUAACCAGUUAAUCAUCAGAAAGUCAAUCUUCCACAAUUCUUCCGGUCUAGUCAGCUUUCCCAUUUCCCGUCCAGUGGUCAUGAGUCCCUGAUAGUCGGUUUUCAAAGUGGCUAUUUUCUGCCAGAAAUGUGCAUGGCUCCUGCGAAAAGCAGACUCCAUCCUCAGAUAUUUGACCAAAGAGCAGCAGGACUGCCUGCACAAUAUCAAAGUGGACUCUAAAGUUUUGUUUCAUGUCCUUUGAGUGUGUGUGUGUGUGUGUGUGUGUGUGUUCGUGUCUGGGUUGAUAAGCCACACAGGCUAUCCAUUACAUAGAUUGUGGCCCCAUAUGAGCUGUAUGGGUCCUUGUUUAGUGUGUUAUUUACGUUGCAUUGUGAGCCAGGUGUGCACAGUUACCAAGUCACAUGAUGAAAUAAAUACAUAGGGAUAUUAAUAAACAGAUACAAGCUUUCUGAGAUGCUGAAUAGUGUAGAGGCCUCCCUCUGUUAUUGAUAAUGGAGACCAUUAGACAGCAUUUCUAUUGAUUAGCUUCCUUACAAAGACACUCGUUAAAGCAGUCAUGAAUGCUUCAGUGAAAGUACAUGAAAGAGCCACUUAUACACAUUACUUACACAUAAUGUUGAACAUGCAAUACAACCUAGCGGAAACCUUAAUUAUCAGAAAUGAUGUUCAUAUUGCAGCACAUGAUUUACCCUUAUCCAUAUUUUAUUUGCCAUAUCCACGAUCUUUCUCAAGCUUUAAUGAUACCUCAACCUUACUGUAGAUUCUGGAUCGUUGUUGUUACACAGAGCACUUUGCUAUUUGCUUUUGACUGUCUUUAUUUGGAAUAUUUUGUUGUGUAUACCUGACGAUUGCCACAGACACAUAUAGAAUUUCCUUAUGGACAAUAAACUAUACUAACUCUA